This 1171-nucleotide long non-coding RNA is filed under the name Chinchilla lanigera (long-tailed chinchilla). RNAcentral's name for it is "lncRNA (ENSCLAG00000022463.1)". Lineage: Eukaryota; Metazoa; Chordata; Mammalia; Rodentia; Chinchillidae. The record is from RNAcentral.
UUGCGUGUAGUUGAAGAAAAUGGUGUGGAGCUCUACAUCUCUGCAGAGACCAACAGCUGUCCUCCAGCAGCUGGAAAUAUCUACCAACAGCUGACAGCUCUCGGUGAAGUCUUCUGACUAGGAAUGGCUCAGCACCAGGCCUCUUUUCAGAAGCUAAAACAGAUUCGUGUUCCGGCAAAGCUCACAAUCCGGGGUCCGGCGUUACUUCUCCAGAGCUCGCUGCAUGUAGACGGCGCAGUCUCCAUCGGGCUGCGGCCCCGCUCGGAUGAAGGUGGCUGCUCUUUCCUGAUGCUCUUCCCCGCGCACACAGCAGCAGCCAGUUACCGCACCACCCUGCCAAGGUGCCUCACCUUCCCUGCUUUGAUUUCAGCGGCUUCACCUGUCUCCAGGAGUCCAGCUCCUGACUCAGAAUGCUGCGUCUUUUGCAUACUGCCUGUGAAGACAGAAAGCAUUCCAAUAGUGGCUUUUAUGAUGCACUUUUUAUACUGCAUCCUGCUAUUUUGAGCUAUGGGAUACUGGAGAUUACACAGCCCCUCGUUAGCAACUGGGUCAAAUAUCCACAUCUCUUCCAAGAUCAAAACCCUAGGAUCGCUCCUUUCAAAAAGUCAGUUGAAGGGAAGAUUCACCAUUAGCCUAUAUAUAGUGUUAAUCAAUACGUGAAGGUUCAAAGGCAAAAUAAAAUAUUUCCCAUAAUUCUUAGGGAAUGGAAAAGACCAGUUUGAUCAAAAUGAAUUCUUUUCUUUAAAAUAUGAAGAAGAGUUUAAUGAACAUAAAAAGUGCAUUUAAUCUCUUUGAGUUAACAUCUAUAUAGCUCUUUCAUUUAACACUAAAGGAAACUACAUUAAUGCAACACACAGGGAAAUCCCUCCACCGUAAAGAUAAUUAUGAUCGCCUCCUAAUGACUUCUCCACACCACUUAAACUAAUUACCUUUAUGAGAAUACCAUGUUUGUCAUUUUCUUUUCAGUUCUAUUAUCUUUCUAACUCAUGGUGUCUCGGCUCUAAAUCUGAGUGAGGAAAGACACAAACUGCGAUCAAAUACUGAAAUGAUAAAUAGAUGGAAAUCUUUAAAAGAAAUCUCACACGCUUUACUGACGUUGCUUUCACAUCCAUCCAUAGGGUCUCCCUCGCCUCAGUGAUUGGCUCCUUGCCACACCUUGACCCUGCAUCAU